RNAcentral lists this ribosomal RNA (496 nucleotides) under uncultured bacterium. Its description in RNAcentral is "partial 16S ribosomal RNA". It matches the Rfam family "Bacterial small subunit ribosomal RNA", at positions 29 to 507 of the family's 1533-position model. The record is from RNAcentral.
AUGAACGCUGGCGGCGUGCCUAAUACAUGCAAGUCGAGCGAACGGACGAGAAGCUUGCUUUUCUGAUGUUGGCGGCGGACGGGUGAGUAACACGUGGAUAACCUACCUAUAAGACUGGGAUAACUUCGGGAAACCGGAGCUAAUACCGGAUAAUAUUUUGAACCGCAUGGUUCAAAAGUGAAAGACGGUCUUGCUGUCACUUAUAGAUGGAUCCGCGCUGCAUUAGCUAGUUGGUAAGGUAACGGCUUACCAAGGCAACGAUGCAUAGCCGACCUGAGAGGGUGAUCGGCCACACUGGAACUGAGACACGGUCCAGACUCCUACGGGAGGCAGCAGUAGGGAAUCUUCCGCAAUGGGCGAAAGCCUGACGGAGCAACGCCGCGUGAGUGAUGAAGGUCUUCGGAUCGUAAAACUCUGUUAUUAGGGAAGAACAUAUGUGUAAGUAACUGUGCACAUCUUGACGGUACCUAAUCAGAAAGCCACGGCUAACUACGUG